CUCAGAUAGGCUUGACUCAAUAGAGAAUAGUUCCUUUGGGGAGGGAUAAUCUGCAAUUUCCUGAGACUCAGAUAUAAAGGGAUGAGGUGUGUGCAAGGGACUCAUAUUGUCAUGGUGCUGGAAAACAUGACAAGAGGAGGAAAAGAGAACUAGGAACUAACCUGCAAGGGGUACUAGAUGGACUGGAUCCUUGCUGGGAAUGUCUGGCAGCCUCCAUGCCAUGGAUUAUCCAUGAAGAGGAAGACUUUGCCUUAAAUUAGUCCUACUCCUGGGUCCCAUUUGGGCAGACCUCAUCUUGCAUAAGAAGAAUACUGCCUUGGCUGACAGAUUGCUGCAGAAUUAGAUGUGCAGUGAUGAAAGGGCCUCUUUACUUCAGAUACAAAUUACUCAACAAAAUGAAGAUUGUGGAUCUGCCAGGAAGAUGGAAGGAAAGGCAUGGCCCUGAGGUCUAGUUUUCAGUGCUGGGGUUGUUCCUCAACAGUUCUCUACCCAUAGGCUCUGAACUUGAGGAUUUUGUCUCCUACUUCUUUCCUAAUCCUGAUCCUGAUCCUAUUCCUUUGUGCCAUGCCAACAGCAGCUAGGAAGCACCAAGUUCUCCCUGUGUCCUGCACAGGUGCAUUACAGUGCUGCAGAUGGGGCUGCAUAUACUCCUGCUCUACAGAUCUGUCAGCCUGCUCUGCUGCAGCCAGUGCUAAGACUCACCAAAAUCAGAUUCUCAUGUGUGGAGAGUUGCUGAACUGCUACUUCCAGAAUUACAGAAGUUAAACUAGGAGAAACACAGAACCUUUCUAAAAGAAUGCUACACCCAUGUUUCUGAAAACUUUGAACAUUACAAAGUACCGCUGUGCUUUCAAAAGCUCUCCCACCAACAAAUAGCACACAAAAGAAUAUACACUCUACAAUGAAGGGCAGAUGCUCCUUUGUAGAAUAAAUCUUACGACUGGAGAGAGAAACCUGGAAAAAUGUGCAGGAAGUCACUGAGACUCUCUUCAUCCUCUGCUGCCAAGACAAGCAAAGGCAAGAUGUCAAUGGGCUUUAGUCUUGCCCUUCCCAUCCUGAAGGUGUGACCCCUAAUGCACACCCCAGCAGUCUGCAGGAUGUCACUGACAAAAGCACCUUAUUAUGCAGAAUGCUUAAGAGUCUUUUGAAGGGCUGGGAUUUUGGAGCUCAGAAAGAUGAUCUUCAUCACCUCUUUGCCAGCAUGUGUCCUACUAAUCCACUAAGGUGUGUAUAUUCAUGAGCUUUCUAUUGUGUCCCAAGGUUUCUAACUGGGUAUGUGGAGGUCUGUGCUGAGAAAAUGACAAAAUAAGGGA
RNAcentral lists this long non-coding RNA (1313 nucleotides) under Meleagris gallopavo (turkey). RNAcentral describes it as "lncRNA (ENSMGAG00000018666.1)". Lineage: Eukaryota; Metazoa; Chordata; Aves; Galliformes; Phasianidae. The record is from RNAcentral.